This 492-nucleotide ribosomal RNA is filed under the name uncultured bacterium. RNAcentral describes it as "partial 16S ribosomal RNA". It matches the Rfam family "Bacterial small subunit ribosomal RNA", at positions 29 to 507 of the family's 1533-position model. The record is from RNAcentral.
AGUGAACGCUGGCGGUAGGCCUAACACAUGCAAGUCGAACGGCAGCACAGUAAGAGCUUGCUCUUACGGGUGGCGAGUGGCGGACGGGUGAGGAAUACAUCGGAAUCUACUUUUUCGUGGGGGAUAACGUAGGGAAACUUACGCUAAUACCGCAUACGACCUACGGGUGAAAGCAGGGGAUCUUCGGACCUUGCGCGAUUGAAUGAGCCGAUGUCGGAUUAGCUAGUUGGCGGGGUAAAGGCCCACCAAGGCGACGAUCCGUAGCUGGUCUGAGAGGAUGAUCAGCCACACUGGAACUGAGACACGGUCCAGACUCCUACGGGAGGCAGCAGUGGGGAAUAUUGGGCAAUGGGCGCAAGCCUGAUCCAGCCAUACCGCGUGGGUGAAGAAGGCCUUCGGGUUGUAAAGCCCUUUUGUUGGGAAAGAAAAGCAGCAGGUUAAUAUCCCGCUGUUCUGACGGUACCCAAAGAAUAAGCACCGGCUAACUUCGUG